UCUCUCUCCUCUCUCUCUCUCUCUCUCUCUCUCUCUCUCUCUCUCUCUCUCUCUCUCUCUCUCUCUCUCUCUCUCUGCAGUUACGACAUCUCUGCAAUUGGCAAAGGAAAACAAGCUGUUAAAUCGUAAGCUACUGUGUGAAUGUGUUUAAUAAAACCGUAGUAUGCUUUAUGUGUCUGAUCUCGGUUCUACCUAAAUACAUUAUUAUGCGUACAAGUGCUCUGAUGGAUCAACAUUUUUUGCAGGGAAAUUAAGAAGAUGAAAUGAUAUGAGAUAGCAUGCAAAAAAGGUGUUAUUGAAGUGGGGGAAAUGGAGUAGUGCAUGGUUCUCAUAUACCCGACUUAUGUAGUAAACUAUUGUGGUUCUCUUGAAGAUUGGUGAUUUAUGACGAAUCUUGAUAUCUUCAGAGUGAAACAGAGCGAGGAGAAGCUAUAAGAUGCGAGGAGCACAUCAGAUAUGAAUCAUGCAAGGUUGAAAGAAUCGGUGGCAGAGGAAGAAAAUGAUAUAGAGAAUGGAGCAGAUUAAAGUGUUCAAGAAAGUGAGAAAAAAUAUAAGAACAUCGAGAAAAGGCUUACCAAACAUGGUCAUGGUCAUUACCACGAUCAUAUCAAACCCAUUGAACCUCAGCCAAUUACGAGAUACCUUUUAUGGACAUGAGUUGAUGGAUACUUCGGAGUUAAUGAUAUGUUCCCUCUUAUGUCUUUUGCCAAAUCUUUCGAGUACCACGUUUUUAUGUAAGAAGAUUUAAUCUUUUUCCCAAUUAUUUCUUUGUUUUGUAACCAGGAAGCUCAUAUCCAAGUGUUCAAGUUUGAAAGAAGAGUAGACCUAGGUAUCUCAUGUUUUAAUACAUCAAUGUCAUAGGAAUGUCUGCUUAAAAUGUACGAAUUUGGUCAGUGCUUUGAAAUAGAAGCAAGAGAAGUAAGGGCAAAUCAAGACCUAAUGUCACACCUGAAAUCAAAAUUGCUGUAAGAUAUUAUUUAACUUAAUGUAGGAGCUUCUUUCAAUAGUAAUUUUUGAACGCUUUAUGAGCCGUUCAUUGAUAAUUUAUCAUAAUAUACGUGUUAGCCAACAUCUUUGUGUAUGUGCUCCAGACCAGCGUGUUGCUAUAAUUGGCUCUUUUUCUUGAAUCAACAUGAUAGGAGAAACAAGUGUAAUCAAGUCCUGUUAUUAGCAUAUCCGAGUUUUGGCUUAGUGUUUGUACAUUCUGCAGUAUUUUAUUGUUUUUGUAUUAACUCAUGUACACUAUAUGAUAUAUCUAAAUUGAAUAAGUUCUCUGCCGAAGAAACAACAAACAAUAUAUGAUUGUUUUAAUCAAGAUAAUGACAAAUGGUCUUCGGUUUGCAAUACACAAUGAACCAAUGGUUAUACUUAUAAUCAUCUUGCCUUUUUUCAUAAGUAAUGAACACAAAUUAUUCUUGACUAGCCCUACAAUCAAGAGUUCUAUCAUCAAUUUUUUCAGCAAGAAGAUGAAUUUCCAACCCAAAGAAAAGGGAAAAUGUUCCAAAGAUAGAGAAUCUAAGGAUCACAGAAAAGAUACAUCAAAAAGAUGGAAAAGCAAAUAAAAGCAAAAGAGUAAUGUUAGUUUUGAAGUACGAAAUAACUUAAUUGGAAUAUGAACUAGAUUUGAUGGACGAAUGAAAAUGGUGAUUUAUCCAUCCAGCUACCUGUUGGGAUAAGCUUGAAUCAAAAGAUAGCUUGAGAUGCAAGCAAAGAUCUAAUCCUAUUGUGUUUGAGAUUUAUAAUAUAUGUAGGAAUUAUCUAAGAUAUGUUAUCUAAUAGGAUUAGGAGUUUAUAAUCUCUAUAUAAGAAUAUGUCAAAGUGUGGUAUAACUAAUGGGAUUUAGAGAUUGAGAGCUUAAGUUUUUGAGUGAGUUUUCUUAAGCAUUAAUAAAGAGAGUUAGUCUAUAUACAAUCUUUGCAUUCUAUAUUUGGUAUCAGAGCUAAGAAGAAGAAGAGAUGCGUGGAGAAAUUGUUGCUGCGACAGCAACAUCAAAACCGAGAAAGAAGGGGGAUCCUCUUCUAUACGAUGUCCAAUGCUUACUGCAACCAAUUAUUCGGUAUGGGCGAUCAGAAUGAAAAUCGCACUUAAAGUACACAAGGUUUGGGAAGCGAUCGAAGAAGAAGUAACCGAAGGAGAGAAGAAUGACAUGGCGAUGGCGUUAUUGUUUCAAUCCAUACCAGAAGUCUUAAUUCUCCAAGUUGGCGAACUAAGCACCGCCAAGAAAGUAUGGGAAGCAAUCAAAACUCGACAUGUAGGAGCUGAAAGAGUUAAAGAGGCAAGGUUACAAACAUUGAUGGCUGAUUUUGAUCGCUUGAGGAUGAAAGAAACAGAGUCAGUCGAUGAGUUUGGAGGAAAAUUGUCCGAGAUCGUGUCAAAAUCUGCAGCUCUAGGAGUCAGCAUAGAAGAACAAAAGUUAGUCAAGAAAUUUCUAACCAGUCUACCACGGAGGAAGUAUAUUCAUAUUGUGGCUUCUCUUGAGCAAGUACUAGAUCUAAAUAAUACAAGCUUUGAAGACAUCAUGGACCGUAUGAAAGCUUAUGAAAGUGAAGAAGAGGAACUACAAAAGGAGCAAAACAAACUGAUGUAUGCGAACUCCGAGCUACAAGCUACGCAGUCUAACCAAGAUUACAACAUAGACAAUCGAUACUAUCGUGGCAGAGGCAGAGGAAGGUCAUACUACAGAGGCCGUGGACGAUGACGUUACAUUGGAGACAGAGAUGCAUCAAAAGUUACAUGCUAUCGGUGUGACAAACUAGGACACUACGUUACUGAUUGUCCUGACCGUAUCCUUAAGUUGCAGGAGGCUCAGGAGACCGACAAUAGCGACACUCAGGACGCAGAUGAGUUGAUGAUGCAUGAGGUUGUCUAUCUCAAUGACCAGAACUGUGUCCCCGAGAAGGAUGAAACAUGUAUGGAUGCAGAAGACAUAUGGUACUUAGACAAUGGAGCCAGCAAUCACAUGACAGGAGAUCAAAGGUACUUCUCAGAGAUAGACAAACUUGUCAUGGGAAAAGUAAGGUUCGGUGACGAUUCCAGAAUUGAUAUUAAAGGAAAGGGGACUAUCUCCUUCAUAGAUAUGAAUGGGGAAGCAAGGAAGAUGAAUGAUGUGUAUUUCAUACCUGAUUUGAGGAGAAAUAUAAUCAGUCUCGGUCAAGCAACGGAGUCGGGAUGUGAUAUAAGACUGAGAGGAAACCAUCUCACGAUGCAUGACAAACAUGGAAAGCUCCUUAUCCAAGCCAACAAAUCGAAGAAUCGGCUCUACAAGGUCGUAUGGGAAUCAAAGACUCAACGCAGCUAUGUUUAAGUGAGAUCAGUGAGUCAAAUAGGUGGUAUGCGAGACUUGGCCACGUCAACACCGCUACGAUGAAAAGGAUGAUACAAAAGGAACUCGUCGGCGGUAUUCAUGGCGUCAAUUUCAAGAAAGAGUUGUGUUCUUCAUGCUUACUUGGGAAACAAGCAAGAAAGGUGUUUCCACAAGCAACAAUGUACAGAGCAACAAGACCACUUGAGCUCCUACACGGAGAUUGUUGUGGCCCUAUUACGCCGAGUACAAUGGCUGGAAAUAAAUAUAUAUUUGUGAUCAUUGAUGACCAUACAAGAUACAUGUGGAAUAUUCUCCUUAAACAGAAAAGUGAAUUUUUUGGGAAGUUUAAAAAGCUGACGGGUCUGAUAGAACAAGAACUUAGAGAGAACAUAGAAACCUUCAGAACCGAUCGAGGGGGUGAAUUCGUUUCACAUGAGUUCAAUUCAUACUGCGAGGAAGAAGGCAUCAUGAGACAUCUCACUGCUCCGUACACUUUCCAGCAGAACGGAGUAGUUAAGAGACGUAACAGGACAUCAAUGGAGAUGGCCAGGAGCAUCUUGAAGCAUAUGCAUAUACCGAAUCAUUUGUGGGGUGAGGCAAUCCGACAUGCAACCUAUUUAAUCAAUAGAAUAGCAACAAGGUCGUUACAAGAUCAGACGCCUUAUGAAGUCUUAAGGAAAAAAAAAACCAAAUUUGAAUCAUUUAUGUAUCUUUGGUUGACUUGGCUAUGAAAAGAUUGAGAAGGCUCAGCUAAGGAAACUAGAUGAUAGAUCGAGAAGGCUUGUUCAUCUUAGAACCUAGCCUGGCUCAAAGGCCUACAGGCUACUUGAUCCUGAGACUAAGAAAAUUAUGGUCAGUCAUGACGUGGUGUUUGAUGAGACUAAAGGUUGGAAUUGGAAAAGAAGUGAUUCAGAGCAAAAGAGUUAUAAUGACUUCGUUGUUGAACUCGGUGAGUUUGGAAAUCACAAAAUAUCGGAGCCGGCAACUGAAGCUAAACCAUCUGAUCAACCACGAGGGUUAGAACAAACGGGAGACAACCGUGAGAAUGAAGAAACAGGUGAAACAGAAAAGGAUAUAAUAAAAAUAGAAGAUGAUAAAAGCGAAGGUGGUGGAGAAAGCGAAGUUGGUGGUGAAAACAGAGUAUUGAGAAGAAGUGAAAGACAAACUUCGCGACCAAAAUACCUUGAUGACUAUGUCUUAUUGGCCGAAGAAGAAGGAGAGAUGUUGUUGCUGUGUCUGAAUGGUGAACCAAGAACUUUCGAGGAAGCAAGUGAACUGAUAGAGUGGAUAGAAGCAUGUGAAGAUGAACUACAUUCCAUCGAAAAGAAUGAGGUGUGGACCCUGGUCGAGCUUCCGGAUGGAGUAAAGCCAAUCGGUUUGAGAUGGAUCUUUAAGAUCAAACGUAACGCUGACGGGUCUAUCAAGAAGUACAAAGCUCGCCUAGUAGCAAAGGGGUAGGUACAAAAACAUGGGAUUGAUUUUGAUGAAGUGUAUGCACCAGUAGCCAGAAUCGAGACCAUCAGACUACUUGUAAGCAUUGCUGCAACAAAUGGUUGGGAGGUGCAUAAUCUGGAUGUUAAAACGGCUUUCUUACACGGAGAACUCAAGGAAACAGUUUAUGUGACCCAGCCUGAAGGCUUCGAAGUGAAAGGAAGUGAGAAAAAAGGUUUAUAAACUCAAGGAAGCGUUGUACGGUUUAAAACAGGCACCAAGGGCAUGGAACAUCAAACUAAACCUGUCAUUACUUGAUCUCAGUUUUAAAAGAUGUUCCAAAGAACCCUCUGUUUACAGAAAGACGGCGAACUCGUGUAUUCUAGUGGUGGCUGUGUACGUUGACGAUCUCUUUAUAUCCGGUGCAAGCGCUGAGAUUAUCGAAGCUUUCAAGAAGGAGAUGGCGUCAAAGUUUGACAUGAGCGACCUUGGCAAGCUGAGUUACUAUCUCGGUAUUAAAGUAUGUCAAGAUGAAGGGAUUAUAACCUUAAAUCAACAACGAUAUGCUUUGAAAAUCUUGGAGGAGAGUGGAAUGAAGAACUGCAAUAUGUCACAUACACCAAUGGAGAACGGUUUGAAGUUGGCCAAGUCGAUUGAAGAGGAAGAUGUAGAUGCGACGAGGUAUCACAAGAACGUGGGUUGUCUACGGUAUCUCCUACACACUAGGCCGGAUAUGUCGUAUACGGUGGAAUUUUUGAGCCGAUACAUGCAGAGUUCAAAGGUGUCUCAUGAGGCUGCAAUGAAGCAUUGUCUCAGAUACCUACAAGGAUCGACCAUCACUUGGACUCGUCUUUACUCGAACAACACCCAAAGUUCCAAAUCUGAUUGGCUAUAGUGAUAGUAGCCAUAAUAUUGAUAAAGACGCUGGGAGAAGCACCACAUGACAUAUCUUCUACCUUGGAGACAGCUUAAUCACUUGGUGUUCUGGUAAGCAAGAAACGGUCACGCUUUCAAGCUGUGAAGCAUAGUUCAUGGCUGGGACAGAGGCGGAAAAGCAGGCCAUUUGGAUACAAGAAGUACUUAGUGAAGUCACAGAGCAACCGGUCGAGAAGGUGGUGAUCAGAAUCGAUAAUCAGUCGGAAAUAGCCCUUACCAAGAAUCCAUUGUUCCAUGGUAGGAGCAAGCACAUACACUCAAGGUUUCACUUUAUUAGGGAGUGUGUGGAAAGAGGUCAAAUAAUCGUGGAGCAUGUUUCUGGUGAUCUACAAAAGGCUGAUAUCUUGACUACGGUUCUUGGAAGAAUCAAGUUCAAGGAGAUGAAAGAUCUGAUUGCAAUGCAAGAGGUGGUGAGAAAUGAUUUCAAGCUUAAGGGGAAGAAUGUUGGGAUAAGCGUGAAUCAAAAGAUAGUUUGAGAUGCAAGCAAAUAUCUAAUCCUAUUGUGUUUAAGGUUUAUAAUAUAUUUAGGAGUUAUCUAAGAUACAUUAUCUAAUAGGACUAGGAGUUUAUAAUCUCUAUAUAAAGAUAUGUCAAAGUGUAGCAUAACUCGUGGGAUUUAGAGAUUGAAAGCUUAAGUUUUUGAUUGAGUUUUUUUAAGCAUUAAUAAAGAGAGUUAGUCUUUAUACAAUCUUUGAAUUCUAUACUACAUGUAUUAAAAAAUUUAUUAUUUAGUUUUCUUAGUUAGAAAAUUAAAUCUGAUCUCCCAAAUAUGCUUUUAUAUGUGUUCAUUGUUUCAUGGCUUUCCUUUUUGAUUGUGCAUUCAAUAAAAUCUAUUGACGUAUAUGUUGUGCGAAGAUAUUUGCGUGCAUUGUCUACUCAUCAUAAUUGAUUUCGGGAUUGUAACAUAAAAUCAGUGUUCUCUGUGCUAUGAAACUGUAAUCAACUUGGUAUGUAGCCGGAAGUUUGAAAACAACUUAAGAGCAUGUGCAAGGGUAUGUCUCAAUUUUUUGUAUCCAACAACAUCCUCAGAUCUAUGCCAUUUGAGACAAGGCCGAAAUUCUUAAUUUGCAGAGUCAUUAGUUUUUUUUGGACAGUCAUUGAUGGUUUGUUUUAAAAGUUUGUCUUUAGUCUAUUUUAUUUUUUUAUUUAUAAUGUAUUUUCAUGAACUGAAUAAUAUUACUCUUACGUUUGGAUUUUUGAUUCAAUUUUAUUUCUACUAUUAGACUGUUCAGUUUGGUAUUAUAAUAACUCAACUAGAUCUUGAUCGGCGUCCCGCGCGGGUGUUGGAUUUAGGGUGUUGGAUUUAACUUACAUUCAAUGUAAAUUUAUAAACCAUUGAUUUUAUAAAAUAUCUAUUUAUACUUUUAUGUUUUGUAAAAUAUAUUUAGAGUAAAAUAUAUUAUAUUAUAAUAUAGAUGUUUGAUAAUAAUUUUUUAUAUGUAUGUAAUAUUAUAUUUAUAAUUUUAUAACUUGAUGCAAUUUGAUGUAAUUGUAAUAUUCAUAUAUUAAUUUAUUGAUUUUUUUGUUUAUUUAUUUAAAAAUGAUUUAAUUUUUUGCAGUAGAUUUUAUGAAUUAUUAUUAAUUUUAUGAUAUUUGGUUUUCUUGAAAAUUGUAUUGUAUCAGAUUAAUAUAUACUAUAUAUUACAGUUUGUGUUUGUAUUUUCAGCAAAAAGAAAUAAUAAUUCAUUGUAAUUAAUUUAAUUUUUUUAUUUUAUGUGAAGUGGCAGAUUUAUAAAUAAGGAAGCAAUACAACGGCUAAAUGUGUAAAUAAAAAGAAAUAUUUAAUCUACUAUCUCCAAACAAUUCUCAUUUAAUAUGUUAUCCAAGUUUCCAAACGACAGAAUCUGUAAAUGAGAAAUAAAUACAGUGACUAAAUAUGUAAAAAAAAAAUAUUUAAUCUGCUAUCCUUGUUUCCAAACAACUUUCAUUUAAUAUACUAUCUAAGUUUCCAAACAGUACCAAAAGGUACUUCAGUUUUAAUAAUAUAGCUGAUCUAAAGUUAAAACAAAGUUUAAAUUGGCUGUAAAUGUUACGAUUAUUUUAUACAAUCCCUAAAUAAAUAAGAUAAAAUGUAUUUAAAUCAUAUAUAUGUUCAGUUAAUUUUUACUCAUCUUAGUUAUCAUUCUACAUAUGAUUUGUGAGUUAAAUUAUUUUAAAUUUGUUAGACACAAGGCAAUGAAUAAAUGCAAAAAUUUAAAUUUUUAAUUUAAUAAUUUAAAAUAGAUUAAAAUAUAUAUACACAAUUUAUAUUCAAAUAUAAAUGUAAAAUUUUUAAUUUAACUAAAAAUUAUACAAAUAUCCCGGGCAAGAGUACUAUACCGAUGGACAGAAGAGGUAAAAUUGUGUACUCAUGUUUCAUUUUUUUUUUGACGUCAAAAUGCCAUUCUAUUACUCAAAAACUUGUGGUGGUCUGGGUAACCAGACCGGAAUAGAACAACCAAUAAAUGUAACUUCCUAUGGAAGGAUCUAGCAGUUUUAGCUAAAAAAAAGUCUGAAAUCUGAUUGUGCGCUCGUGGAAUGUGAGUGAUGUUGAAAUCCGGGAAGCAUAUGUAGCGUCUCUAUCCUUUCCAAUUCUGUCGCAAAGCUUGGCGAGGCAUGAGGUUCCUUUAUCAUUGCAAUCAGCUCCUUACAGUCUGUCCUAAAGCUCUGGCAUGUUGAAUGUUGAAGCAUGUUCUCCCUUUCCCAUCGCAGUGCUUCUACCUCUGAAUGCAAGGCUGAUUCUCGUCGAGUGAAAUUUCUUGUCCCCAUAAGUUGAAUGUUCUCACCACUGUCCAUCCAGACCCAUCCACAUCCACUAAAUUGAGCAGAAGCUGUCCAAGAUCCAUCUAACAAGCAAAUAUUACCCAAGCUUAUGACUUGGGGAUCCUCAGUAUUGCUAUCUUGUACUGCUGGUUGUACCACUUCGUUCGCAUCAAACCAGGCUUGACAUUCACUUUCUGCAUGUCGAACUAGCUCCAAAGCAUCUCUGUUUAUCCCCCUGAAAAAGUUUGUCAUUUGCUAGCGUUCCAAAUAUACAAGAUUAUCUAAGGAUAAAGAUCCUUGUCUCGUUCUGUCUCGAUAAUGUUGUUUUUCCUCCAGAAUAGGUAAUCCAUAUUUGUGUAGACGCUUGGUAGUGGAAAUAUAUCUGGGUUUGUUGGAGUCGAUGAUAAGGACCAAGCUUGUAGAGCUGGCGGGCAUGCAUUAAAUAUGGCAUGGGUUACAGAUUUUUCUAGUUUCUCACAUCUUGGGCAGUAGUUAUCACACCUUAUAUUGCGUCUUGUUAAGUUCCUCGUUACCGCCACAUGACCGGUUAACAAUUGCAAUAUAAGAUGACAUAUCUUCGCAGGUGCCUUAACUUCCAAGCAAAGGCUUGAAGCUUUAUGAUACUCGGUGAUAUAUGGUGUUUUAUACAUCUUGUAUAUAUGCUUUUCAAUUGGUUUUCAAGUCUUUAUCGAGUCUUCCUAGUCCUUUUCGAGUCAUUACAGGUCUGGAGUUGCAUUGGAUGGGAGAUGGACCAGCUGGAACAAAAGAGGCAGCAAACAGUGCAAUUUGGUGAUUUUCACGCAGAAUAGUCUUGAUGACUGUUCCGGAUAGCGGAGCAACCCGAGUGACUGUUCCGAGUGAGUGUUCCAGCGGCAGAGAUUUUUAAGGAAACUACAACCUAUUUCGGGAUUUGCCCUAAUCUCUCUAUUUUCUCUCCCAGCCGCCUGUGGCUUGAAUAUAUCUUCUUUUUCUGUUUUUCCUUAUCAUUCUACGCUGUUUUUGGGAGAAGAAACCAGACCUUAGAGUUGGAGACUUGUGAUUUGAUACUUUGUAAAGGGAGAAGGCUCCAUCUCUCUCACCAUAGAGAAGAACCCCCUGAACCCUUAUUCUAUUUUA
Molecule: long non-coding RNA, 9529 nt
Organism: Brassica rapa (field mustard)
Lineage: Eukaryota; Viridiplantae; Streptophyta; Magnoliopsida; Brassicales; Brassicaceae
Source: RefSeq, a predicted model, not a curated record